This is a ribosomal RNA of Cuculus canorus (common cuckoo), 215 nucleotides long. It matches the Rfam family "Eukaryotic large subunit ribosomal RNA", at positions 2414 to 2822 of the family's 3401-position model. The record is from Rfam. Lineage: Eukaryota; Metazoa; Chordata; Aves; Cuculiformes; Cuculidae.
UGUCAGAUUGGGGGCCGUGUCACACUAGGGCAGUAUACCUGUCAAAUUAAAAUGUAGCCUAUGAGGGUCAGUCCAGGGAAGACAGAAAUUUCCUGUGGAGCAGAAAGACAAAAGCUCACCUGAUCCUGAUUUCCAGAUUUUUUUGUGAAGGUAGAACCUUACGAUAUUUCUAUCUUUUUGUUUAGUAAGAAGGAAGUGUCAUAAAAAUUACCACA